Small nucleolar RNA from Neltuma alba, 146 nucleotides. RefSeq annotates it as small nucleolar RNA snoR136. The transcript has a single exon. Lineage: Eukaryota; Viridiplantae; Streptophyta; Magnoliopsida; Fabales; Fabaceae. The record is from RefSeq and is a predicted model, not a curated record.
AAGGCUUCAUAUCCCAAAUUGAUUUUGCUGGCACAAUUGUGUUGAUGUUUGUGUUUUGCAAUGUUUUAUAGAAGCCUAGAUUUUGUUCCCCUCGCUAUCCAGUGUUGUAAUAUAAUGCUCCAUUAGGACGUCGGGGAACAAUAUUC